RNAcentral lists this ribosomal RNA (497 nucleotides) under uncultured bacterium. Its description in RNAcentral is "partial 16S ribosomal RNA". It matches the Rfam family "Bacterial small subunit ribosomal RNA", at positions 28 to 507 of the family's 1533-position model. The record is from RNAcentral.
GAUGAACGCUGGCGGCGUGCCUAAUACAUGCAAGUCGAGCGAACGGACGAGGAGCUUGCUCCUCUGACGUUAGCGGCGGACGGGUGAGUAACACGUGGAUAACCUACCUAUAAGACUGGGAUAACUUCGGGAAACCGUAGCUAAUACCGGAUAAUAUAUUGAACCGCAUGGUUCAAUAGUGAAAGACGGUUUUGCUGUCACUUAUAGAUGGAUCCGCGCCGCAUUAGCUAGUUGGUAAGGUAACGGCUUACCAAGGCAACGAUGCGUAGCCGACCUGAGAGGGUGAUCGGCCACACUGGAACUGAGACACGGUCCAGACUCCUACGGGAGGCAGCAGUAGGGAAUCUUCCGCAAUGGGCGAAAGCCUGACGGAGCAACGCCGCGUGAGUGAUGAAGGUCUUCGGAUCGUAAAACUCUGUUAUUAGGGAAGAACAUAUGUGUAAGUAACUAUGCACGUCUUGACGGUACCUAAUCAGAAAGCCACGGCUAACUACGUG